This 791-nucleotide ribosomal RNA is filed under the name uncultured archaeon. RNAcentral describes it as "bacterial SSU rRNA". It matches the Rfam family "Archaeal small subunit ribosomal RNA", at positions 85 to 876 of the family's 1478-position model. The record is from RNAcentral.
ACGGCUCAGUAACACGUGGAUAAUCUACCCUUAGGACCGGGAUAACCCUGGGAAACUGGGGAUAAUACUGGAUAGGCAAUUAUUCCUGUAAUGGUUUUUUGUUUAAAUGUUUUUUCGCCUAAGGAUGAGUCUGCGGCCGAUUAGGUAGUUGGUUAGGUAAUGGCUUACCAAGCCGUUGAUCGGUACGGGUUGUGAGAGCAAGAGCCCGGAGAUGGAACCUGAGACAAGGUUCCAGGCCCUACGGGGUGCAGCAGGCGCGAAACCUCCGCAAUGUGAGAAAUCGCGACGGGGGGAUCCCAAGUGCCAUUCUUAACGGGAUGGCUUUUCAUUAGUGUAAAGAGCUUUUGGAAUAAGAGCUGGGCAAGACCGGUGCCAGCCGCCGCGGUAACACCGGCAGCUCUAGUGGUAACAAUUUUUAUUGGGCCUAAAGCGUCCGUAGCCGGUUUAAUAAGUCUCUGGUGAAAUCCUGCAGCUUAACUGUGGGAAUUGCUGGAGAUACUAUUAGACUUGAGACCGGGAGAGGUUAGAGGUACUCCCAGGGUAGAGGUGAAAUUCUGUAAUCCUGGGAGGACCGCCUGUUGCGAAGGCGUCUAACUGGAACGGUUCUGACGGUGAGGGACGAAAGUUAGGGGCGCGAACCGGAUUAGAUACCCGGGUAGUCCUAACUGUAAACGAUGCGGACUUGGUGUUGGGGUGGCUUUGAGCUGCUUCAGUGCCGAAGGGAAGCUGUUAAGUCCGCCGCCUGGGAAGUACGGUCGCAAGACUGAAACUUAAAGGAAUUGGCGGGGGAG